UAACCGCACAAGUCCCGCCUUCACUCCGGGUCCUAGGGGGUCGGAGUAGGUCCAGCAUGAGUGACCACCAGGGGCUGUGGGAUCUGAAACUUUUCCUUCUCUACUGCUUGUUCUCCCUUCCUCCAUCCCUCACCCGGAAGCGGGAAGCAGCUUUCUCUUCCCAGCUUCCAUCCAGUCUCUGAGUAGACCGGUCGCAGCUUAGAUACUGGGAUCGCCUCAGAACACAUUUAUUUGCCCUUCACGGCCACUACCGGUAUUGGGGUAUGCGAGUCUCAGGGCCAUUCGUUGCUCACAGGUCGAGCUGGUCUGGACUCUCUUCGACCACGAAUCAUGGCUCCUUCCUGCCAGUUAUGUCCCCUCCGCACCCUUGCCCAGCCAUUUUACCAGGCCUCUCCACAUUGCGCUGCCCCACGGACCUUAUCAAGCUUGAAGAUCUUUAAGAAGAAAAGUAGAAGAAAUGCAAGAGAACAAAAAAGAUUGUCAGCGAAAGAUAUAUAAUUGCAUUAAGAUGUGACCCUAAUCUUUCCACAGUCAAGCGUGUACUACUAUUUCACAGCAUUUUCCUUUCCAAACUGUGUGCCAAAUAAAUCGGGGUCUCCAACCCCAGGGCCGUGAACUGGUACCGGUCUGUGGCUUGUUAGGAAUGGAGCAGCACAGGAUGAAGUGAGUGGUGGAGAUGGGGUUUCACUAUGUUGCUCAGGCUGGUCUUGAACUUUUGGGCUCAAGCAAUCCUCCUGCCUUGGCCUCGCAAAGUGCUGGGAUUAUAGGCAUGUGCCACCAUGCCCCUAAAGGUGACAUCAAGAGAGAUCUGUCAAGUGGAAGACGUUCUGUAUUGCUCCAGGCAGCAUAACUACCAGCAAUGGAAGGAAAUAAAGGGAAACAGAUUUCAGCUCAGCAGGAGGCAGAACUUUCUAACAUUUAGAGCUGUCCAACAGUGGAGCAGGCUGCAUUACUUGAGGGAGUGAGCUCCCUGAAAUUUGAACUGUUGAACAAGAAGAUGACCAUCUGGCUGAAUGUACAAGAGGGAAUUCCUGCCUUGGCAGCAGUUGCACUAGUGACCUUUAAGCAGGUAUCUUCCAAUUCUAACUGUUCAACUCAGCUAACUUGACCUCUGAAUAUAUGAGUUAUGCUGUUAAAAAAAUUAUUAGACAGUUCAUCUAUUGACUUACCUAAAAUAACUGCAUGGUGAAGUUUAUGAUAAGUAAGAUUUUAGAAACUGAGAAGUGGGAAAGCAGGUUUUACACUGAAAAUCCAGAUACCAUCCAAACCAAUUAAUGGCACUUUGAACAAAAGGGAAGGGA
Long non-coding RNA from Symphalangus syndactylus (siamang), 1301 nucleotides. RefSeq lists it as uncharacterized. The record is from RefSeq and is a predicted model, not a curated record. NCBI's taxonomy places the organism in Eukaryota, Metazoa, Chordata, Mammalia, Primates, Hylobatidae.